GGCGAACGGGUGAGUAACACGUGGGUGAUCUGCCCUGCACUUCGGGAUAAGCCUGGGAAACUGGGUCUAAUACCGGAUAGGAGCCAUCUUUAGUGUGAUGGUUGGAAAGUUUUUCGGUGUAGGAUGAGCUCGCGGCCUAUCAGCUUGUUGGUGGGGUAAUGGCCUACCAAGGCGGCGACGGGUAGCCGGCCUGAGAGGGUGGACGGCCACAUUGGGACUGAGAUACGGCCCAG
RNAcentral lists this ribosomal RNA (233 nucleotides) under uncultured Actinomycetales bacterium. RNAcentral's name for it is "partial 16S ribosomal RNA". It matches the Rfam family "Bacterial small subunit ribosomal RNA", at positions 97 to 334 of the family's 1533-position model. Lineage: Bacteria; Bacillati; Actinomycetota; Actinomycetes; Actinomycetales. The record is from RNAcentral.